AUCACUUCUCAACCUUUUGGCUAAGAACAAGUGUAGUAUCUGUUCUUAUCAGUUUAAUAUCUAUCUACCUACCUACCUACCUACCUAUCAUCAGAUAUAAAAGCGGAGAAGGUAAUGGCUUACUUGGUGCCAUUAUAGGAACAACAGAUGUCUUGGACUGCUUCUUUGAUUAGGCCUA
This is a small nuclear RNA of Homo sapiens (human), 178 nucleotides long. NCBI's taxonomy places the organism in Eukaryota, Metazoa, Chordata, Mammalia, Primates, Hominidae. The record is from Ensembl.